RNAcentral lists this long non-coding RNA (2743 nucleotides) under Phaseolus vulgaris (common bean). Its description in RNAcentral is "long non-coding RNA (PVUL_LNC004438)". Lineage: Eukaryota; Viridiplantae; Streptophyta; Magnoliopsida; Fabales; Fabaceae. The record is from RNAcentral.
GUAAGAAUUAUAAUCCUAAUCUGUGAACAAUUCAAGAACGUCAUUUUUAUUUUUUUUCAAUUUCAGAAGUUAUGCAUCUAUAUAACAACUGUUUCAUUGUAUUAUAUGCUAUUUGUUAAGAGAGGAAAGAUAGGAGAAAACUGGAGAGUGAUGGUACACUAUAAUGUCUUGUCUUCAAAACUGUAAUUAGAAAUUAGUUAUCAUACUGGUGUGGAAGUUGGAAGAUUAAAUGUAUGUGAUGUUGUCAAUUUGUAAUUGUUGAGAUGUUUUACUAUUUUUCUUAGAUGAAUCAUGCCAUCGCAUUGUGAUUGUUGUUAAGAGGUUGGAUAUCUAAGUAAUGCCAUUGUGGCUUGUUUAAUGCUCAUACAUUUGAAUUUUUUGUUAGGCAUAAUUAGUAUAAUGCUCAUACAUUUGAAUUUUCUAUCAGGCAUAAAUAGUAUAAUGCUUUUCCUUUGAAUUCUAGUGCUAAUCUCAACAUGUAGUGUCAGGCUGUUGCUCUGCUUUGGAGUUUGAAUAGCUGAAACUAAUUGGCUUUGAAGGACAAGGUGAACUUAUUUUUGAUGAUAUUUUCAUGGUUGAGAAUGUAGACUUGGAUGGUAAAAAGUAUGACAACGGUACGAGCACCUCUUAUUUCUUUGUAUCAUUUCAUUUCAUUUUUUUUAAAGAUCAAUCUACUUUAUAGUAUGGGUCCCUUGGAUAUGCAAAGCUAUCUUAUUGAGUUGAUAGUGUGAUAUUAAUACUUGGGAGAAGUAGUGUUGUAUGAUUUUUAACUUGAAAGUUGCCUCAACACGAAUAAUCGAUUAUUAGAAACUAUGACUCUAUUCUUUUUAUUGUUAGCGCUGUGGUAUUUUAUUAUUAUCCGAAAUCAUAAUAGGUUUUCAGAUAGAUAAAUAAAAUGUUAGUUUUAUUAUCUUUGAACUAUAUUUCUAAAUUUUAAAUAAGCUUUUGCUAGUUUUCAAUAAAAUAAAAUCUUUACAGGUUUGUUUCUCACAUAAGUAUAAGUCUAACUUGACUGUAACUGGUAGAUUCUUGCAGAAUCUAGAGGAGACCUUUUACCUGAUCCUCGAUUUGAUGACAUCAACAAUAUAGGUCUUGGUUUUCAGAACGAUAGUGAUUCUACUUCUUUUACACAGUAAAUUUGUACCUUGUCAAUUGUAUGAUGCAUUUUCUUUCUUGAUUGGUUUUCUAUUGUUGACAAAAUUUUGUAUAUUCGUAUGCACUAUAUCUCUGGAUGAUCACAUUUAAAAAAAUUAUUGUUCUAUGUUUAAAGUUUAAUCAAUAAAAAAAUUAUUGGUAACAGAAAUGGUAACAUUUGGUAGGAAAAUAGGUAGUGGUAAUUGAUUAGAUUCCCGUGGGCAUGUGUGAUUGUGACACCUUCCCAUAUCAUGAUGAUGUAGAGUAACCGUAUGAGUGGGAAAAAGAAGCAGAGUAACAAUACUUAUGGUAGUUUGUCAUUUCUUCCAGAUUCUAUGGAUUAUAAUGUUCAUUUGAAUAUUUAUUGAUUUAUUUAAGUUGGAUGUCACUUGUUUGGAAUAUUCUUACCCUUAUGUGAUAUAAAGUUACACUUGUAAGUUUCUUGAUAUCUCCAUGUUACCUCUUCAAAAACAAAGGAUGAACUUGGUGAUGUAUAGUUAUAUAGGGAGUAAGUUUGUUACAAUCAUCUAACAGCUUCACAACCAUCACUCCAAGUAAGUUUGUUUUAGUUAACUUUUUUUACUUCAGUUUAAUAUAUAAUAUAUUAUAUAUUGACGUUUGGUUCUUAAUUUGUUUGACAUUUUAAUUGGUAUAAUUCAGUCAAUCUUGGGAGGAUGUCUUUUGGGAUAUGAAGAAUCGUCUUCCUCGAAGCAUCUCAACAUUGGAGUGGGAGAACAACUUUGUUUCUAUUUACAGCAAGGAUAAUCCAAACUUGCUUUUCAGCAUGUGAGUGUUGAUUAUUUUUAGCAAUACCAAUUCCUUUUUAUCUUUCCCUUUUUUCAAUGCAUUCAAGCCUUUAAGAAUAUUUUACUGGCCUUGGAUGUCUAAUUUAUCAUGAUUAUGGUUGAAAAUAUAGUUUAAUUGGUGAGUGAAACUGAAUUGUGGAUAGUCUGUAAAGAGGUCAUCAUUGGUUUCCCAUGGUCUUUGUUUGUUUUCAGGGCUUAUGACCUAUUUUCGAGAGGCAAACUAUGCAUACCCAAGAGCUGUUAGAUUUGCUAGUUAAAUGUGAAAAUAAAAUUCAGGCUCGUAUUAAGAUUGGGCUCAACUCAAAGAUGCCUAACAGGUAAUUAUUUCUUUUUUUUAUGGUAGGUAUAUUAGUUGUUUCUUAAUAUUUUAUUCAUAAAUAAUGGGUUUUAAUGUUCAAAUAUAUGCUCCACUGUAUCUUUUAUCAGGUUCCCACAUGUCAUUUUCUACACUCCUAAAGAAAUAGGAGGGCUUGGAUUGUUGUCCAUAGAGGUAUACUGCGUAUUAACACUCUGUUUCAAAAGGAUAGGCACACUUUGGCUUAUGAUAAAGGAUGGAUAGUGCGCACUGAUUUCAAGCAGUACCAAGUUCUGAAGCAAAAGCCCUUCCGGUGGACACAUCAGAGCCACUAUGGGAAGUUGUGGAACUUGAACAAUUACCGAACUGAUGUUACUUGAACUUUGUUGUAAUUUUAAACUUGAUUAGGAAUGUAUGAACUUUUUAUGUGUUUUAAUUUUCAAUUAUAUAAACUUUUGAACAUUAUUAUGUGUGCUUUAAUUUUCAAUGAAAUGAAUGGAUGAUUAUA